CCUGCUGGGGUGCCCCUGGGCAGGUCUUUUUCCCUCUCUGGCCUGUCUUCCCAUCUGGAAAGCAGGAGAUUGGACUAGAUCUUGAGAGGCCCCCCAUGUGAGGAACCUAAGGGUUCCAUGCUUGCCAGCAAGAGGGGAGCGGCUGGGAGCAGACAGGGGACUGUGGAGACCACGCACAAGGGCUUAGCUGCUGUCUACACCAUCUGGGGGACACGAUGACUGCAUGGAUCAGCAACCUAUGAAACUUAUGGAAGUCCUCACACUAACCAUAAAAACCAUGAAAACUUCUAGGCUCUUCUUGACUCUUGGAGCACCCUGGGACUGUGAAUACCACAAUUCACUCAGAAGCAAGGUCUACAAAUUCCAAGUAGAUGCCAUAUCAAGAGAAGGCCAGGAAACCUGAGUUCUCCUUUCAGUCUGACC
Molecule: non-coding RNA, 423 nt
Organism: Odocoileus virginianus texanus
Lineage: Eukaryota; Metazoa; Chordata; Mammalia; Artiodactyla; Cervidae
Source: RefSeq, a predicted model, not a curated record